UAUUGGUUGGUCUACACUCAGCAUGUGU
RNAcentral lists this non-coding RNA (28 nucleotides) under Bombyx mori (domestic silkworm). The record is from RNAcentral. Lineage: Eukaryota; Metazoa; Arthropoda; Insecta; Lepidoptera; Bombycidae.